CGCUUCAAGCAAGCUCUCGGCGAUGCGCGCGCGAGGGGGCGGCGCGGCCACGCCGCGGCCGGAGCACCUGGCGGCGCACGCGCGGCUCGUCAAGUCGGCCGACGCGGACCCGUUCGUCGUCAGCACCGUCAUGCGCGCCUACCUCCGCGCCUCGCUCCCGCUGCAGGCGCUGGUCGUCCUCCCGCGGGCUCCUCCCGCGCGCGCCCCGCCUCCUCGCCAACUCCUUCUCCCUCUCCCUCGCCCUCCAGGCCUGCGCCGCCUCCGCCGCGCUCGCUUCGUCGGCCGCGACCCGGCCGCUCGGCGCCUCGCUCCACGCGCGCGCGGUCAGGUCCGGCUUCGCCGCCGCCGAUCUCUUCGUCCGCACCGCGCUCGUCGAGAUGUACGCCAAGUCGGGCCGCGCGGAGCUCGCGCGCGCCGCGUUCGACGAGGCGCCCCGCCGGGACGUGUUCCUCUGCAACGUCAUGCUCGCGGCCUACGUCGCGCGCGGCGAGGUCGCGGAGGCGAGGAGGGUGUUCGACGGAAUGCGGGACCGGGACCUGGUGUCCUGGAACACGAUGAUCCACGGGUACGCCGUGAGAGGGGACGUCGGCAUGGCGAGGGAGAUAUUCGACGCGACGAGCGACAGGGACGCCUUCUCGUGGAGCUCGAUGAUCUCCGCGUACGCCAAGGGCCGUCGGUCCAAGGAGGCGCUGGAGCUGUGGAAGGUGAUGCGAGCGGCGCGUGUCGCUCCAGACUGCAUCACCAUGGUGAGCGUGCUCUCGGCGUGCAGCGACAUGGGGGCACUGACCAUUGGCGCAGAGGUGCACCGGUUUGUCGAGAGCCACAGGGUUGAGGUAGACAUGAAGCUGGGUACUGCUCUGGUUGACAUGUAUGCCAAGUGCGGUGACAUUGAGAAUUCUCUGAAGGUGUUCCGCGCUAUGCCUGUGAUGGACGUGCUUACUUGGAGUUCAAUGAUCAUUGGACUGGCCAAUCACGGACUUGGCCAUGAUGCUCUAAGUUUGUUCUCAGAGAUGAUAUCACAAGGACUGCAACCAAAUGAGAUCACCUUCGUUGGAGUUCUUAUCGCGUGCACUCAUGUUGGUCUAGUGAGUGAUGGCAAGAAGUAUUUCAGCUCAAUGACUGACGUUCACGGUGUGGUGCCAAGGGUCGAGCACUAUGGAUGCAUGGUCGAUCUUUUGGGUCGUGCAGGCCAUGUUGAGGAGGCAAUGCAGCUUAUCAGGAGCAUGCCUUUUGAGCCGGAUGCAAUUAUUUGGAGAACACUUCUUGGCGCCUGUCGCAUCCAUAAGAAUGUAGAGAUUGCAGAGGAAGCUAUGGCCAAAUUGAAAGUACUGGAUCCUCUUGCAGAUGGACACUAUGUGUUGCUGUCAAACAUAUAUGCACAAGCAAACUCGUGGGAAGGUGUUGCAGAAAUGAGAAAAACGAUCAAGAGGGAGAACAUUCAGAGGGUUCCUGGAAGAAGCUCGAUCGAAUGGGAGAACACAGUUCAUGAGUUUGUCUCUGGUGAUAGAUCGCAUCCGAGGAUUGAGGAGAUCUACAAAAUGUUGGAAGAGAUGAUUGGCCGGUUAAUACAAGCAGGAUAUAGGCCCAUGACAAGCUUGGUAUUGCAAGAUAUUGAUGAGCAGUCUAAAAAGCGGGCACUGGCUGAACAUAGCGAGAAACUGGCCAUUGCUUUUGGGCUGCUGACCACCCCUCCAGGGUCAACUCUUCGAAUAACAAAGAACCUCAGAGCUUGUGAAGACUGCCAUUCAGCGAUUAAGCUUAUAUCCUUGGUAUAUGGUCGCAAGUUGAUUAUUAGAGACCGGAAUCGUUUCCACCAUUUUAGUGAAGGGCAGUGCUCAUUCAGGGAACUCAUUUAGAAGCUGAAGGAUUGACAGAAGAUCUGCCUUCCAGUAUACAUCAAACUUAAGAGGGGGAAACAAAGAACAGGAAGCCAAGGAGCAAGCCUAACAUAACAUGGAUGGAGUUGGAGUUUAUCCACUAACGCAAUCAGUCGGUGAGCCGAACACUCGAAAGAAACGGUCUAGUUUCCCCCCAACAAGCCUCCCUUUUCCAGGUUAUCCUUGAAAUUACUACUGUUGUCUAGCCCGUUUGGCACUUAUCUCUCCAUUGCAAUCCUAUCGUGUAGCCUGUUUGGUUCUUAUCCUCUCUCUCUCUCUCUGCAUUGCAUUUUGCAGUACUGUGAUGUGAUGCUGGCGUGCAAUGCCUUGCAGGACCGAGGAGCUGCCUGAAACGCACAAACGAUAAACUAGACGGCUCCCCCUCCCUCAAUGAUUGUGUUCCGCUUUGGGAGCACCCGUUUGGUGGCUUCCGGGUUGCUUCAGUUAUCGUUAACAUUAACACAGGGCGUCCUGAUCCGAUCGCCUCCGUGGAGCGAUGUCGGCCACCGGAUCCCCAGAUCACACGGCUGAGAUGGC
Triticum urartu is the source of this 2414-nucleotide RNA transcript. It is a transcript of the gene named pentatricopeptide repeat-containing protein At5g48910-like, with no coding region annotated. NCBI's taxonomy places the organism in Eukaryota, Viridiplantae, Streptophyta, Magnoliopsida, Poales, Poaceae. The record is from RefSeq and is a predicted model, not a curated record.